ACCUACGGGGCGCAGCAGUCGGGAAUAUUGCGCAAUGGAGGAAACUCUGACGCAGUGACGCCGCGUAUAGGACGAAGGUCUUCGGAUUGUAAACUAUUGUCGUUAGGGAAGAGAAAGGACAGUACCUAAGGAGGAAGCUCCGGCUAACUACGUGCCAGCAGCCGCGGUAAUACGUAGGGAGCAAGCGUUAUCCGGAUUUAUUGGGUUUAAAGGGUGCGUAGGCGGAAUGCCAAGUCAGCGGUAAAAUCGCGGGGCUCAACCUCGCUCCGCCGUUGAAACUGGCGUUCUUGAGUGGGCGAGAAGUA
RNAcentral lists this ribosomal RNA (305 nucleotides) under uncultured bacterium. Its description in RNAcentral is "bacterial SSU rRNA". It matches the Rfam family "Bacterial small subunit ribosomal RNA", at positions 337 to 659 of the family's 1533-position model. The record is from RNAcentral.